GAAGGAAUUGUUGAAGUGAGGGACAAGAUAGUAAAAUGACCAAAAGUGAUUCCACUCCAAGCUUGACAAAUGGCACAUUUAGAACCAUGGAAUAAAUUACAAAAAUAAAUAAAUAAAUAAAUUCAACCAAUUCUUCUACCUCUUGCUGAAAAUCCCCCCCCUCUCCCUCCCUCUCUCUUUAGUUUUCUUUCUCCUCUCUCUGUAUAUCUAUACAUCUAUAUAUACAUAUGUCUUGCAAACCUUGAUUUGAAAGAGUUAUAGUAAGAUUUUGGAGGUGACCAAAAAAGGGAAUGUAAUAUUACCAAUCAUAUAUAUAUAUAUAUAUAUAUAUAUAUAUAUAUAGAUAUAUGUUUAUAUUAAAUGUAAUAAUUGUUGCCGUGAGCCCCACAGGGGCUUUAGUCAUUAUAAUGACCAAGGGGUCAUUACCAUAACCAAUUUUCUCUCUCUCUACGCGGCUGUCUUCUUUCCUCCUCUGCUUUUUAUUUUUCUUUUUCAUUUCACAAUUUCAAGCUUCAAUUACUCACUCAUCUUUUGAAGAUUUUUUAUGCCGUUUGUGGCAAAACGAAGAACUUGUCGAGAUCUACUCAUGGGUGUAAGCAAUUUAUCAUUUGGUGCACCCUAGGAAAUUCGAAAAUUAGGAUUCAAAUUGGAGAUUUUCAUCAUUUUGAGGGAAAGUUGGAGAGCUUGGAGAAGUCUUCCAUUUGGCACCCAUAUUGCUAGGGCUUGGAAGGUUUUUGAAAUUUGGGGCUUGCAAAGGCCUUGUUUGGUUUACUAUCUUGAGGAAGGGAAAGUUUAAAUUAUGAGUCAUAUGGUUUUAGUAAGCUUCUACGUAUAUUCUUACUUGAAAUCUUGUUGUUGUGCAGCAUGCUUAGUUUUGUAGAGACUUGGGUUGUGGUGUUCAAGCAUGAUAUAUGGUUGAUUUAUGUGGUUUGAAAUAUGGCUAAUGCGUUUUUAUACUAGUUGUGCAUAACUUACUAAUUUCUAUGUUGAAAUGCGGAAAUAUAAUUUUUAUGAUUGUCUUAUGUUUUGUAUAUCAUGUAUAAUGAUGUUGAUUUAAAUUCAUGAAUAGUAUUUUGACAAUUAAUAGCAUAAAUUUCAAGUAUUUUUCAUGGGGAAAUUGGGCUUACGAAAUUGAAGUCGUGAUGCGGGAAUGAAGGAUGAGAAGGGAAUUGAGGUUGUGGUUUAAGUUGGGUUGAGAAGUAAGAUGAUGGUUGUGAAAGAUUUGAUGAGAUUUAGGUUGGAAGGAAAGAGGAGGGCAAUUGCAUCUUAUGUGUUGAAAUGAUUUAUGAAUUUAAUGUUUGAAGUUAUGGUUGACAUUCCCAUGACCCAUUCUUCUUAUUCUCCUCUUCUUUGGUUGUGGUUCACGGGAUUAUUAGGAAUGUAAUUUAAGCUUUUUCUAUUGAGCUGUUGAGCUCACCCUAUUCUUAUUAACAUUUUUCAAGAAAUUUAGAGAUAAACCGAUGAAUUAUAUGCAUCUAUGGAUAUUGAUGUAAUUAGGAUUUCAUUUUAUUUAUAUUAAAGUUAUGUAAUUUUGGCCAUGAAGGCCUCA
Molecule: long non-coding RNA, 1549 nt
Organism: Cornus florida
Lineage: Eukaryota; Viridiplantae; Streptophyta; Magnoliopsida; Cornales; Cornaceae
Exons: 2
Source: RefSeq, a predicted model, not a curated record